GGAGACAGCUCUCCAUCCUCUUUCUAUGCCUGUCACUGCAUCUGUGCUCUUGUCUGACUCCUUCUCCCAUGUCCAGAGAUGAGAGGGGGUGGAAGAAUGACUGCAGAGAGAUGAGGGAGGUGGGAAGUCAACUGGAGGCCAAGAGAAUAGGAGAAGAAAAGGAGGAGGAGGCAAGUGAGAGGAGAGGAGCCUCUGUCAGCACAGUGAGUGUGUGUUGGUAAAUCAUCUGUUGAGAAACACACAAAAGAGAAAACUAGACAGACAAACACAGACGAUAAAGCCAACGUAGACUAAACAAGAGACACAAGUUGGUGAACAACUAACAGCUGGCCACCACUUCCACCCAGUGACUGUUUUUGUGGCUCUUUCCAGCCUGUCACACAGCCAGACUCCUCGGCCAUGGAGAAGUGCCCAGAAGUGAUGUGUGCUGUUCACAUCUGAUUACCACC
Molecule: long non-coding RNA, 449 nt
Organism: Oreochromis aureus
Lineage: Eukaryota; Metazoa; Chordata; Actinopteri; Cichliformes; Cichlidae
Source: Ensembl